GGGUAGUUCGGAUUGGAGUUGAACCUGGCUGGAAGAAGUCCGGAAGGGAUUCGAGGAACAGUUGAUAGUCGUAGAAAGUCGGCUGGCGGCGGGGCUUAGUGAGCGCUUAGGGCGGUUUAAUAGAUAACUGCGGAAAUUCAAUCAGCGCUGUGGGAAUCUGGCCGUUGGAGAGGUCCGGAGAGAUACCGUCGGCGGUCGAAAGUCGGCGGAGUCUUGGGAGGGUCAAUCCUGUUAAGAACUUCGGCU
RNAcentral lists this long non-coding RNA (246 nucleotides) under Elaeis guineensis (African oil palm). RNAcentral describes it as "long non-coding RNA (EGUI_LNC012948)". The record is from RNAcentral. Lineage: Eukaryota; Viridiplantae; Streptophyta; Magnoliopsida; Arecales; Arecaceae.